GGACCCGCACAAGCAGCGGAGCAUGUGGUUUAAUUCGAAGCAACGCGAAGAACCUUACCAGAACUUGACAUCCCUCUGACCGGACCUUAAUCGGUCCUUCUCUUCGGAGCAGAGGAGACAGGUGGUGCAUGGUUGUCGUCAGCUCGUGUCGUGAGAUGUUGGGUUAAGUCCCGCAACGAGCGCAACCCUUGUCAUUAGUUGCCAUCAUUCAGUUGGGCACUCUAAUGAGACUGCCGGGGAUAACUCGGAGGAAGGUGGGGAUGACGUCAAAUCAUCAUGCCCCUUAUGUUCUGGGCUACACACGUGCUACAAUGGUCGGUACAAAGAGAAGCAAGACGGUGACGUGGAGCCAAUCUCAAAAGCCGAUCCCAGUUCGGAUUGUAGGCUGCAACUCGCCUACAUGAAGUCGGAGUUGCUAGUAAUCGCAGAUCAGAAUGCUGCGGUGAAUGCGUUCCCGGGUCUU
This 463-nucleotide ribosomal RNA is filed under the name uncultured bacterium. RNAcentral's name for it is "bacterial SSU rRNA". It matches the Rfam family "Bacterial small subunit ribosomal RNA", at positions 917 to 1382 of the family's 1533-position model. The record is from RNAcentral.